RNAcentral lists this ribosomal RNA (531 nucleotides) under Pediococcus pentosaceus. Its description in RNAcentral is "bacterial SSU rRNA". It matches the Rfam family "Bacterial small subunit ribosomal RNA", at positions 61 to 575 of the family's 1533-position model. Lineage: Bacteria; Bacillati; Bacillota; Bacilli; Lactobacillales; Lactobacillaceae. The record is from RNAcentral.
GACGUACUUGUACUGAUUGAGAUUUUAACACGAAGUGAGUGGCGAACGGGUGAGUAACACGUGGGUAACCUGCCCAGAAGUAGGGGAUAACACCUGGAAACAGAUGCUAAUACCGUAUAACAGAGAAAACCGCAUGGUUUUCUUUUAAAAGAUGGCUCUGCUAUCACUUCUGGAUGGACCCGCGGCGUAUUAGCUAGUUGGUGAGGUAAAGGCUCACCAAGGCAGUGAUACGUAGCCGACCUGAGAGGGUAAUCGGCCACAUUGGGACUGAGACACGGCCCAGACUCCUACGGGAGGCAGCAGUAGGGAAUCUUCCACAAUGGACGCAAGUCUGAUGGAGCAACGCCGCGUGAGUGAAGAAGGGUUUCGGCUCGUAAAGCUCUGUUGUUAAAGAAGAACGUGGGUAAGAGUAACUGUUUACCCAGUGACGGUAUUUAACCAGAAAGCCACGGCUAACUACGUGCCAGCAGCCGCGGUAAUACGUAGGUGGCAAGCGUUAUCCGGAUUUAUUGGGCGUAAAGCGAGCGCAGG